UACGGGGGGGGCAAGCGUUGUUCGGAAUUACUGGGCGUAAAGGGCUCGUAGGCGGCCAACUAAGUCGGAUGUGAAAUCCCCAGGCUCAACUUGGGAACUGCAUCCGAUACUGGAUGGCUUGAAUCCGGGAGAGGGAUGCAGAAUUCCAGGUGUAGCGGUGAAAUGCGUAGAUAUCUGGAGGAAUACCGGUGGCGAAGGCGGCAUCCUGGACCGGCAUUGACGCUGAUGAGCGAAAGCUAGGGUAGCAAACGGG
RNAcentral lists this ribosomal RNA (253 nucleotides) under uncultured bacterium. Its description in RNAcentral is "partial 16S ribosomal RNA". It matches the Rfam family "Bacterial small subunit ribosomal RNA", at positions 524 to 776 of the family's 1533-position model. The record is from RNAcentral.